AAUAAGCACAGUUUUACACUGUUCAUAUCAAACGUUUGACUGUUCGUCUUAUUUGAAAAUUUUUUACGAUUGAUAUUUUAAUUGUUAUUAGAUGAUAAAAUAUGAAUAGUAAUUUGUGUAUGACUAAUUAUUUUUAUUUUUUUUAAAUAAGAUGGACGGUCAAACAUUAAACACGAAUAUCACAGCUAUACUUAUU
This is a non-coding RNA of Oryza glumipatula, 196 nucleotides long. Lineage: Eukaryota; Viridiplantae; Streptophyta; Magnoliopsida; Poales; Poaceae. The record is from Rfam.